RNAcentral lists this long non-coding RNA (240 nucleotides) under Nicotiana tabacum (common tobacco). RNAcentral describes it as "long non-coding RNA (NTAB_LNC017966)". Lineage: Eukaryota; Viridiplantae; Streptophyta; Magnoliopsida; Solanales; Solanaceae. The record is from RNAcentral.
GACUAUUUUCUUAUACUUUGUCUGUGAAACCUCACUCUUUCUUUCUCUCUUUGUUGGUGUGAAGAAAUGAGAGUUGAAGCUCUCCUUUUAUAGCCAAAGCUUCACUCUCUAAAGCCUACAAUAUUUGACAAUUUACACACACUUUUCACAAUUCAACAAAGUUGGCUACCAAACCAAAGAAAUUCAACAAGGUUGGCUACCAAACCAAACUAAUUCAACAAGGUUGGCUACCAAACCAAA